Molecule: long non-coding RNA, 6693 nt
Filed under: Homo sapiens (human)
Lineage: Eukaryota; Metazoa; Chordata; Mammalia; Primates; Hominidae
Description: HSALNT0007996
Source: RNAcentral
CGAGUAGCUAGGACUACAGGCAUGUGCCACCACGCUCAGCUACUUUUGUUUUUUGUUUGUUUGUUUGUUUGUUUUAGUAGAGAUGGGGUUUCACUUUGUUGGUUAGGCUGGUCUUGAACCCCUGACCUCAGGUGAUCCGCCCACCUAGGCCCCCCAAAGUAUUGGGAUUACAGGAGUGAACCACUGCGCCCGGCCUCGAAUGUGAGUGCGUUAAAACCCAGAUCGGGUCUGAUUGGGGUUGGCACCCAGGUGGCUCCAUAAUUGUUGCUGUCCUGAAUUAUUGCCCUCUUUGCUACUUGGACCGAACCCCAUCUUGGGACCACCGACUUCCUCUGACUCCUGGUCAGGCUCCUGGGCGGCAAAUCCUGGCCCCUGGUAUGGUCCCGCCUGCCUCUCUGUCCCCUUGUCUACCUGACCAGACCUCUGAACUUCAAGGCCUGGAUGCCCUGUCUCUCCUCCUGUGAGGCUCUGUCCUACCUCAUGUUGGGACCUAGGGCGCUCUGUUGUACAACUCCAGGGAGCACCAUUGUGUCUUCUGUAAAUGGCAGCUCCUGGAACACAGUGAGCCCUCAAUAGGGCAUGUCAGCUGUGGGCUCAGACAUCCUUUGGGUCUGGCAGUGCUCCAUUUCAUGUGCCCUGUCACCCUCACCCCUCUUUUUCCAUCCCACUUCUCCUAGCUGGACCAAGCUAGGCGUCAUCUACAAGCCCGGUGUGCUGACCAGGGAAUGUGUGGGGCUUGGGGCAUGGGGACAAUAAAUAACAUCACUUUUCUCAUUUCCCAGGCAGGUAACCAAUUGAAAGAUAAGAUACCAUAGACAGACAUCAACUUUAUUCCUGACUAAAGCUCAAAAGAAGGGCGUGGCGUAGAUUUACAGUGACCAUCCUAACACUCACGCGCAGAGUCACACGGUCCCACACUGGGCUGGACCAGCCCUGCUAAGCCCACAAGAGGUGGGGAGAACAGCAGCCGCUUCCUCUUUGUGGGGCCCAGGCCUGAGCUUCCCUCCGUUCCUGCCCCGGAUCUGACCACUGGGAUUGUGGGAGAGGGUGUCAAAGGACAGUUUUCUCCCAUAGUUUUCCCUUCCAGGGAGAAGAGUGGAAAUCCCCUCAUCUCAAAGGCAACAUGAGAUUGGAGAAUGUACUCUCAAAUCCCCAAACAGCAACAGAAUUGUUCUGCUUGCUUCAGAGCAGAGGCUCCGCAGCCCUUUCCAGACCUCUCCCAAGCGUGGAAAUGGACGAAGGGCUGGAUGGGGCUCAGAGGGGAGGUCAGGCGGGACUCCCUCAGACAGCAGCUGGGGUUCCUCUGUUCCAGGCCCAGCUCUCACUGAAACAGGAGAGGGUGUGAAGGAAUGGAUUUGGAACUGUCAAGAACUCCUUCCUUAGUGGGCAGUGGAGAUCAAAAGCUGAGUGAAGCAGUGGUCCAGCUGGAAUUCAACACCUGAGAUAUCUGACUCCAGAUACCAGCCCUUCCUUGCUUCCCACUAGCUGCCUAACCCAGAGAGGAGAUUGGGAAAAGAGAAACAAGUUACAGAAUUCAAGAGUAGGUAUCAUCUGGGGUCUUCCUGAAGGAACAAGUGUUGCUCCAGAGAAGCCAGAAAUUCUUAUCUCUGCUUUGCUCUAACCACCUCUUUAGGCUUUAUGACUGAAGAGUCCCUUUGGCCCCUUAACUCCACAAGGCUGACCCUGGUGAUCAGCAGCUGAGAUCUACAUGAUACAGUCCAGACACCAGAAGGAGACUGAAUCUCUCUCCCAAAUCUCAGCUCUAAAAUUCCCAAGAGAGGGCCUCAUGGGUCCAGGCAGUGUCUGGUGUCCGUCCUGCAAUGGCCAGGAGCCAGGUUUUCUUGUAGGAGUGUGACAGCUCCUCCUGCAGUCGGGGAUCCUGGAUGGGGCUGAGGAGAAGUUCCAAGGCAAGGAGGAUUGGCAUCUGCUCCAUAAGUGCAUUCUUCUCUUUGCACUUGAUCUUUUAUCUACCUCAUAGAUAGAUCCUUCUUGCUCACACUUUCAGCCUGUCCUUUUUUUUUUUUUUUUUUUUUUUUGAGACAGGGUCUCGCUCUGUCACUCAAGCUGGAGUGCAGUGGCAUGAACUUGGCUCACUGCAGCCUCCACCUCCCAAGUUCAAGUGAUUCUCCUGCCUCAGCCUCCCAGGUAGCUGGGAUUACAGGCGUGUGCCACCACACCUGGUUAAUUUUUUUGUAUUUUUAGUAGAGAUAGGGUUUCACCAUGUUGACCAGGCUGGUCUUCAACUCCUGACCUCCCCAGUGAUCCACCCACCUAGGUCUCCCAAAGUGCUGGGAUUACAGGCAUGAGCCACUGUGCCCAGCGCUUUCAGCCAGUUUGACCUCUACUCAUGCAAAUUUUACCUUUCCCUUUAUGCCUCACUCCACCUCACGGCUUCACUCUCUUCUCCCUGAUCGCACCCCACUGUGACUGCCUGAAAUGCCACAUGUUUCUUCAUUCAGAUUUCUCAGAUAAUUCAAUGGUUCCACCCAUAAUUCCACACCUGGCCACUUCAUAGACAAUGACUCACUUAAGGACAGGCUGCCUCAGGGUGCACAGCCUGUAUUCAGGAAUCUGCUAGAGCAACACAUAGCUGUACCUUCUGCAAGGCUGUGGGCUGGAUGACUCCACUGUGGGCGUGGAACACGGGCUGGUGUCAUAAGGAGACAUUCUUUAUGCCUUAGGCAUUGAAAGGAUACUCCUUCCAAAAGGCCUUUCCCAGCGUUUCCCCCUGAAAUCCACUAACCAUAGCAUUUCACUGUUGACACUGCCAUAUAGUGCUAAGUGCAGUUGUCUAACUCCUACUGCCACAGAGAUUCAAGUGUACAAUGGCUUACACGUGUGAGAAGAUUAUUUCUUGUUCAGAUAUCAAAUGCAGAAUAAGCAGUCCAGAGAGGAGAUGACAGCUUUAUGGUGUUGGGGACCUAUGCUCCUUCUGACUUGCUGUUCUAUCAUCCCUUGGACGGUGGCCUCAUCUCCUUGGAUCCAGAUGGAUCACUACCACAUUCCAGCCAGUGGGAAGGGGGAAAUGCAUUUCCUUUUCCUUUAAAUGCGGGAGCCAGAGUUUGCACACCUCACUUCACUCACACCUUGCCAGCCAGAACGUAGUUACAGGGUCACAUCAAGCUUGAAGGAGAGCUGGCAAAUGAAGUCUAUUUUGGGUGGCCAUGUGCCCAGCUAAAAGUUGGGAAUUCUAUUAUUAAAGAGGAAGAGGAAGAGAAGAAUGCAUAUCCCACCAUUCUGUCACCGUUUUUGACUGCUCUCCACUCACUAUCCAGUCUGUCACAUGCUGGCACAUCCCAUUCCUGAUGCCUUUCCUAUGGGGCUCUAUUCUUCAUCCCCACCAAUACCACCAUGCAUUGGGCCCUUCCUGCUUUAUACCCACUGUCUCAUUAGAACGUCCUAGCUGAUCCCUUUGCUUUCAGUCACCUUCUGUGAUCAUUCUAUUAAUAAAUAGCAAAUCUGAUCAUAUGCCCCUAUUGUUUAGAAAUCAAUGGCUCCCCACUGCCCAUAGCAGUAAGAUUUUGAAUCCUUUUUUUUUUGAGACAGGGUCUCAUUCUGUCACCUAGCCUGGAGUGUAGUGGUGAGAUCACAGUCAUUGCAGCCUUGACCUCCUGGGCUCAAGUGAUCUCCCCACCUUAGCCUCCCAAGUAGCUGAGACUACAGGCACACAUCACAACGCCUGGCUAGUUAUUAAUUUUUUUUUUUUUGUAGAGAUGGGAUGUCACUAUGUUGCCCAGGCUGGGCUCAAGUGAUCCUCCUGCUUCAGCCUCUCAAAGUGUUGGGAUUACAGGUGUGAGCAACUGCAUUCAGCUGAGUGCAGAUUUUUGAAUCCCUGAAGUUGUAUGCAAAUUUUGCCUUCUUUUUUUUUUUUAUUGCAAAAACUUUUUUUUUUUUUUUUUUGAGAUGGAGUCUCACUCGCUCUAUCACCCAGGCUGGAGUGCAGUGGCACAAUCUUGGCUCACUGCAACCUCUGCCUACUGGGUUCAAGUGAUUCUCAUGCCUCAGCCUCCCGAGUAGCUGGGAUUAUAGGCAUGCACCACCAUGCCCUGCUAAUUUUUGUAUUUUUUAGUAGAGAUGGGGGUUUCACCAUGUUGGCCAGACUGGUCUGGAACUCCUGACCUCAAUGGGUCAGCCCACCUUGGCCUCCCAAAGUGCUGAGAUAUACAGGCGUGCGCCACUACGCCUGGCCAUUUUACUUUUUCUUUCUUUUUUUUCUUUUAGAGAUGGGGUCUCAAUCUGUCACCCAGGCUGGAGUGCAGUGGUGCGAAAAUAACUCACUGGACUCAAACAAUCCUCCUGCUUUAGCCUCCUAAGUAACUAGGAUUACAGACAUGUGUCACCAUGCCUGUCUAUUUUUUAUUUUAAAUUUUUUUUUGUAGAGAUGAGGUCUUGCUAUUUUGCCCAGGCUGGUCUUAAACUCCUGGCCUCAAGCAAUCCUUUCGCCUUGGCCUCCCAAACUUUUUCUGUUGAGGCCUUUGCAUUUUCAAAGGGGUCUGUUAUUCCCCUCAAGUUACAGGCACAAGUCCAAAUUCCAAGUAUCCAUGUACGAGUGUGGUAUGUUUCCUGACCUCCCUUUCACGUCUCCUGUUUAGUCACGUCUCCUGCGUAACUGAAACUAAAGUCAUUUUGAAAUUGUCUCCAUUGCCCAACAGGUCACACUUUUUCUUUUUUUUUCCUUUUUUCUUUUCGUGAUGGAGUCUCACUCUGUCGCCCAGGCUGGAGUACAGUGGCGUGAUCUUGGCUCACUGCAAACUCCACCUCCCGCAUUCAAGCGAUUCUUAUGCCUCAGCCACCCGAAUAGCUGGGAUUACAGGCGUGAGCCAGCGUGCCCAGCCCAGGUCAGGUCAUGCUCUUUCACAUGCCACAUCUUCCAUCCACCUGCCGUUAUAUCUAAACUCCUAGGCAUCGUUAUGGCUUGGCUGAAAAGCCACCUCCUCUGGGAGGCGUCCUUGACUCCCUUUGUCCCACUCAGUCUCCACAGCUCGACUCAGGCCUCCAACACUUGUCACAUUUCAUAGUGGUCGUUAGCUUACACCUGCCCCCCACCAACAAACCAUUAACUCUGGAGCCCAGGACUCUGAAUGGACACUCCACAAAUGUUUAUUGAAUAAAUGUCACUCAUGCUAAAAAAACUGGAGUGCUGUUUCUAACAUGUGAAUCUGAGCAUUGCUUCCUUUUUGCGGAGGAGCGGGGAAUGGUGUCUGGCUGUAACCCAGGCUUGAGUGCAGUGGUGAGAUACCGGCUCACUGCAGCCUCUGCCUCCCCAGUUGAAGCGAUUCUCCUGCCUCAGCCUUCCAAGUAGCUGGGAUUACAGGCACAUGCCACCACACCCAGCUAAUUUUUGUAUUUUUAGUAGAGAUGGGAUUUCACCAUGUUGUUCAGGCUGAUCUUGAACUCCUGACCUCAAAUGAUCUACCCAUCUUGGCCUCCCAAAGUGCUGGGAUUACAAGCAUGAGCCACUGUACCCAGCAUAGGCACAUUAAUAUUAUUUGAAUGGCCCAAAUCAAUGUUCUCUCUUGUUUUGGAGCUUUAUUCUUGCUUCUUCCUCUGCCUGGAACGUUCUCCUGCUCCUCUUUGCCUGGCUAGCUCCUACGUAUCCUUCAGAUAGUUAAAAUAUACCUCAGGAAGUCUUCCUGGAUCCCCUCCCCACUUCUAGGUGAAGGGGGUACUAGGCUGAGGGCCCCAUCUAUGCACACCCCCAGCACCCUAUGUUCGCCCAGUUGCAACGUGGCUCUCACUGCAAGGCGGUGGCUCAUUUGUCUUCCUUCCCUGCUCACAUGCAGUGCACUCUGUGCCUAACUCACCCGCUGGCGUAGCCCCAGCCUCAAGCACAGCACUUGGAAGGGAAGAGGUACCUGAUAAAUGUGUUAAAUGUGGGUUAGAGGAAUGGAUUUCUCCAUUUUAAAUCUUGAUUUCAAUACCUUUCUGUUGCCUUUGGAAUAAAGCCUUACCACAGCUUUUACAGCACUUUCUGAUGUGGUCUCCAUGUAAUUUUAGUCUCGUCUCUUAAAAAUAUACCCUUUGAUUUCAGUGUCCCACUCAAACAUGGUAGCCACACUGAACUGAAUGAAGGCCCCCAAAUGCCUGCUUUCCCUUCUUCCAGCCUCUGCAGUGAAACUGCCAUUGCAAACUUGUAACAGACAGUGAAAGAGAUCUGACCUAACCAACUUCAUCUUGCUUCUAACCUCCAAGCUGUCCUUGUUGGUUCCUGGGCACAGGCUGAACUGACUUUGGGAGAAAGUUUAUAGUUUAAAACAAAGACGAUAACAGCCCUUUCCCAAAACAAACCUCCUUCUUGCCUGGGGACUAGACUGCCUUUGCAGGACAAGAAAUUAGCCACAAGAUUAGAAAUUAUGGUUUAGGAGUCAUGCAGCUGGAGACUACCAGGUUCUGACCCUCCCUAAACUGCUCCUCAGAUCAGUGCUUGAGACAUUUUGCAGACCCUGCACUUGAUGGAUCGGCUGGCACCACCCAGAUCAAUAAACUGGCUCAUCUGAUCUUGCAGCCUCCACCCAGGAACUGACUCAGCGCAAGAAGACAGCUUCGACUCUGUAUGAGUUCAUCUCCAACCUGACCAAUCAGCACUCCCGGCUCACUGGCUUCCCCCCAUCCACCAAGUUGUCCUUAAAACUCUGCUCCCCGAAUGCUUGGGGAGACUUAUUUGAGUAAUAAUAAAACUCUGUUCUUCUGCAC